RNAcentral lists this ribosomal RNA (446 nucleotides) under uncultured bacterium. RNAcentral describes it as "partial 16S ribosomal RNA". It matches the Rfam family "Bacterial small subunit ribosomal RNA", at positions 28 to 523 of the family's 1533-position model. The record is from RNAcentral.
GGCGAACGCUGGCGGCAGGCUUAACACAUGCAAGUCGAGCGCCCCGCAAGGGGAGCGGCAGACGGGAGAGUAACACGUGGGAACGUACCCUUUAGUCGGAACAACCCAGGGAAACUUGGGCUAAUACCGGAUACGUCCGUAAGGAGAAAGAUUUAUCGCUAAAGGAUCGGCCCGCGUCUGAUUAGCUAGUUGGUGAGGUAACGGCUCACCAAGGCGACGAUCAGUAGCUGGUCUGAGAGGAUGAUCAGCCUCACUGGGACUGAGACACGGCCCAGACUCCUACGGGAGGCAGCAGUGGGGAAUAUUGGACAAUGGGCGCAAGCCUGAUCCAGCCAUGCCGCGUGGGUGGUGAAGGCCCUGGGGUUGUAAAGCCCUUUCGGCGGGGAAGAUAAUGACGGUACCCGCAGAAGAAGCCCCGGCUAACUUCGUGCCAGCAGCCGCCGCCG